Molecule: long non-coding RNA, 345 nt
Filed under: Brassica napus (rape)
Lineage: Eukaryota; Viridiplantae; Streptophyta; Magnoliopsida; Brassicales; Brassicaceae
Description: long non-coding RNA (BNAP_LNC013744)
Source: RNAcentral
AAUACUCCUUCAAUUUCAAUACCCUAAUUCAAAAUGUCAUGAGCCAGUGUUCUAUUUACCGAGUAAACAGAUCUCAGCAAUCCAAGUUCCCCAGUUAUACUAUCUUAAUCCUCUGUAAGAUUAUGCUGUCUGUUUUGGGAUAAGAUGGUUCAAGAAAGAGUGGGUAUGAUCUGGCUUAAAAGAGAAAGAAAGGAGGAGGAAAAAAAGGAGAUGUGGACAUGGUACAAUAGCUAAUAAGAUAAACGAAUUUUGAUAAUAAGGUAAAAGGGUUUUCUUGAUUUUAAUGUUUUAGAUAUUCAGUGAGAAAAUUUGGUUUGUGUAGGAUCGUCAAGCGUUGAAAAGAUG